This 68-nucleotide transfer RNA is filed under the name Marmota monax (woodchuck). Its description in RNAcentral is "tRNA.Val". The record is from RNAcentral. Lineage: Eukaryota; Metazoa; Chordata; Mammalia; Rodentia; Sciuridae.
GGUUUGUGGCUCAGUGGCAGAGUGCAUGUCUCACACAUGUGAGGCGCUGGGUUCAAUCCUUAGUACCA